UUAAACCUCAUAAUGUGUGCCUGUGAUCCCCAGCUUUUCUUCUUUAUGAGAGUGUUAACGUUCUUCUUCCUUUUUUUUUUUUUCUAUUGAAAUCUGUGGGAGAGUAAGUGCAGGAUCUGGUCCCUAAAGCUGCUCCAUCACGUUGCCAAGUAACCAGAGGAGUAAUAUAGUUUGUUUUCCAUGGAGGGCAGGAAGAAUCAAAGUGCUUGUGUGAAGGAUCACAGAGCCUAAGGAAAUGUGUGAUCAGUGAGGAGACUGAAACCAGCAUGAUCCUGCCACUUAGAGACAUUCUGUACCCUAAGUUAGGUAUUAACAACACAAACAAGACUAAAAUCAAAAACAAAGCCAAAGAAGCCCUGCAGUGUUCCUGGUAUUAGCAAAUGGAAAUGAGGAGUUCUCUGUCUCACUGAAGUUACAGAACUAAACCCAGACAGACUCACACUGCUUCAGAUACAGAGAGUUCCACGGCUGUUGGGAGCAUCAUUAUUUUUUGUAAAUCUCAAGAUUUUCCACUACAGAGUAUAAACAUCACUACUGACAGGGCACAAAAAGAACAGUAGCUCACUACAGUUCUCAUGUGAUAACUGAAUGUGAACUAAUAGCGAGCUGACAAUACACUUUCAUGCUUUAUGAAAAGGAGUAUAUGAGGGAGCUGACAAGAGUAAGGAGACCUGGAAAUGUUCCCUGGUCACUUCAGCCUUGUCACUGUCACUUCUUCAGACAGCAAGCAUCUGUGGGGAAGAGCGAGCUGGAGGAACCUGCUCUAGGGAAUCUGCACCAUGUCUGCAUACAGGCUGGGCAAGACUUGCAAGCCACAAGUAGACCAUUUGUCUUUGGUCCCAAAAGAUCAUGAAUGCCUGAAAUGGUGCUGCAGACACUAAGAAUGCAAGAAGGAACUUUCAAAUCAAGAAUUUCAGGAGGAAAGAUAAAAGGUUUUGGACUUUUCAUUGAAGGUACAGUUCAUUCAUGCUUUCCAUUGCUUUCUAUAUUCCUUGCUCUUUACUGUAGGAUACUUUCCCACUUGACAGUAAAAAAAAGAAGAGACAGUUCACAUCUCUUGCGACAUCCAACCAGAAAAAAAAAAAAUGCAGCUAGUUUAGAUGAGUAUUUAAUGGAAAUGUAAAGUUAUAGAUACAGAGGUCAACCUCUUGUUUUACAGUUGUGCUGUCUGUAAAACAUUGGAUUCCUAGUCCACCAUCAAUUACGGGUAUUACCACAGUAACAGUAUACAGUCAGGGUGUAUUUUUCCCUAUGUAUAAUAAAUUAACAUGGUUCAUGUAAAUUCCUGAAUUGGUACUUAUGUCCUUUUGUUAUCACCUCUGAUACUGGUUACAUGGAAUCAGGGAAGUCAUUUUUCUCUGCCUUGGUUUUGCUUUGUUUCUAAUAUUCCCUUCAGCUGGAAAAUGAUUUUAGUUCUCUAUUACAAAAAUGUGAUAUAAAUCUAGUCCUGAGAAUCUUAAAAUCUGUAGGAAACAGCUGAAUAAAUGGAGUUUAUUAAAUGUGACUUCCUACAGUCUUAGUGAGGACUUCUCUAACAAUUAAAGCCAGAAUUCUCAAAUGGCAGAAGCUUUUUUUGUCUGUCCAUUCUCAGAAGUGAUUCAACCUCUUAGCUUAGCCCAGAACGUGUGCAGAAAUGCAUCUCCCACAUUAUUCAGAUGGUGUUAAUUGAGGGCUUUCUGCUUUCCUAACAAAAGAGGUGAUAAAUGUCUCUCCCUUUUCGUUUAAAAUCUUCACCUCCUACAGUAGUUUCAGUGUGUUUGAGUGGAUAUAAUAAGUAGACUGCAGAAAUUAAUUAAUUAUAUGUGUUAACUUCUCACUUUUUGCCUUUGUUGAAUCUUCUCUUUUUUCCCUCGGCCUUGACUUUUGCAAAAUUAAAGUUGUCUCCCAGGGUGUAUAGCUUUUAAUUUGAGUCUAUACUGUAUUUAGCUGCUGCAGCGCGUCAAGCAUGUGGAACAUUUUAACAAGGAGUUUUUAAUGAAUCCCUGGGAAGAAAGUGCCCUCGAAAACAAUACUUCAGUACGUAAGCACUUAUAUACUCUGCAACAAUAAAAACAGAACACAUGGAAAAGAUUUUCCUGCCUCUCUGUGUUUUAAACAAACUUUAGCCACAAUCAAGGUCAUAGCCAUUCACUGAGAGGUACUUUUGAUUAAAGGUUUUUUUCUCCAAGGUUGCAAGUAAAUUAUUUCAGCCCGUUUGAUGAUUUGCUAGAAAGGUGUGUUAAAUUGCUGGUAAUUUGAAUUGUGUAUUCAAUUGUGUCUACACAUUCCUUGCAUGUUUCCAUAAAUGCCGGCAUCACUUCUGUAUUACUCUUGGCUUCUUGCACUUGUGUCAGAAGGAAAUGAGUGAUUUUAACACAGCCAUGAAGUUCAAUACAAAGUGGAGAGGGGCAGAAUUUCCCUCAGGUCUUAAUCCCAGUGAAGGUUCAGGGCACUGAGCAGUUAUAAUCAGUCACUUGUCUUUCUGAAUUACUCUAUCCAAAGACACAGGCAGCUCUAUAAUGUCUUCUUAUUUUUCUGUACCAUCAAAUGAAUUUGACAUGAGAAGAAAAGAAAAUGGACAACAAGGAAAAUCAGGACACAGGAUUAAGACAGAGAGUUUUGACGUGUUGACCUUAGUUCUGAUUUUAUGCAGUCAAAUGUUUGAUGUUUAUAGUUUUUUGACCGUCUCUGCAACCUUUGCUGAAGCACUGUAAGAAUUAGAUGACUUGAUGUUUCUGAAGCUGUUUUCUUCUGAGGAAAAAAAGGAAACCAACUGAAAAAAAAAAAAAACAAAAAAAAAAAACCCACAACAUUGGACUGUGGUGUUCUGAAGACUGCACGUGAGUUCCUGCUGUUAAACCAAAUAUUUCUCCUCCUAAACGUAUUGAGCUGCAGUAUCUCCAGAAGUAUUGGCUCAACCGCCCUUACCCUGGGUGAUGCACCAUCUCCCUCUCGUGGUGUCUUGAUCAGAGAGCAGUUAAGGAAAAUUCUACUAUAACUUCAGAUAACAGACUUCAAGCUUUCAAGGCUAAAGAGUGAAGAUUCACAAUUGCAGGCACAGUGGUCAAAGUCUGAGAUAAU
Molecule: long non-coding RNA, 3060 nt
Organism: Gallus gallus (chicken)
Lineage: Eukaryota; Metazoa; Chordata; Aves; Galliformes; Phasianidae
Source: Ensembl